GAUGAACGCUGGCGGCGUGCCUAAUACAUGCAAGUCGAACGAAACUUCUUUAUCACCGAGUGCUUGCACUCACCGAUAAAGAGUUGAGUGGCGAACGGGUGAGUAACACGUGGGCAACCUGCCCAAAAGAGGGGGAUAACACUUGGAAACAGGUGCUAAUACCGCAUAACCAUAGUUACCGCAUGGUAACUAUGUAAAAGGUGGCUAUACUACCGCUUUUGGAUGGGCCCGCGGCGCAUUAGCUAGUUGGUAGGGUAAAGGCUUACCAAGGCAAUGAUGCGUAGCCGAAUUGAGAGGUUGAUCGGCCACAUUGGGACUGAGACACGGCCCAAACUCCUACGGGAGGCAGCAGUAGGGAAUCUUCCACAAUGGGCGAAAGCCCGAUGGAGCAACGCCGCGUGGGUGAAGAAGGUCUUCGGAUCGUAAAACCCUGUUGUUAGAGAAGAAAGUGCGUGAGAGUAACUGUUCACGUUUCGACGGUAUCUAACCAGAAAGCCACGGCUAACUACGUG
Molecule: ribosomal RNA, 512 nt
Filed under: uncultured bacterium
Lineage: Bacteria
Description: partial 16S ribosomal RNA
Rfam family: Bacterial small subunit ribosomal RNA
Source: RNAcentral